UGUGUUUGUAGCUUAAUUUAGGAUAAAGCAUUAAACUACGGAUUUAAAGAAUGAAAGUUCGAUUCUUUCCAAACACGU
Molecule: transfer RNA, 78 nt
Filed under: Gracilaria ornata
Lineage: Eukaryota; Rhodophyta; Florideophyceae; Gracilariales; Gracilariaceae
Description: tRNA-Arg
Rfam family: tRNA
About the family: Transfer RNA (tRNA) molecules are approximately 80 nucleotides in length.
Source: RNAcentral